Molecule: ribosomal RNA, 554 nt
Filed under: Diorchis sp. 2 SAL-2008
Lineage: Eukaryota; Metazoa; Platyhelminthes; Cestoda; Cyclophyllidea; Hymenolepididae
Description: SSU rRNA
Rfam family: Eukaryotic small subunit ribosomal RNA
Source: RNAcentral
CGGUGAAACCGCGAAUGGCUCAUUAAAUCAGCUAUGGUUUAUUGGAUCGUAAUCGUUAAAUGGAUAACUGUAAUAACUCUAGAGCUAAUACAUGCCACGAAGCCCUGACCUCGGCCGCAAGGUUGAGGAAUGGGUGCACUUAUUAGAUCAGAAGCCAACCAGUGUUUGCAUGGGCAACUGUGCAAGCAUUGUAGCACUUCUGGUGACUCUGGAUAAUUGUUACAGAUCGCAGUCGGCUUUACGUCGGCGACGGAUCCUUCAAAUGUCUGCCCUAUCAACCUUCGAUGGUAGGUGACCUGCCUACCAUAGUGAUAACGGGUAACGGGGAAUCAGGGUUCGAUUCCGGAGAGGGAGCCUGAGAAACGGCUACCACUUCCAAGGGAGGCAGCAGGCGCGCAAAUUACCCACUCCCGGCACGGGGAGGUGGUGACGAAAAAUACCGAUGCGGGACUCAUUUACGAGGCUCCGUAAUCGGAAUGAGUGGACUCUAAAUCCUUUCACGAGGAUCAAUUGGAGGGCAAGUCUGGUGCCAGCAGCCGCGGUAACUCCAGCUC